UACGGAGAGGGCUAGCGUUGUUCGGAAUUACUGGGCGUAAAGCGCACGUAGGCGGAUCAGAAAGUCAGAGGUGAAAUCCCAGGGCUCAACCUUGGAACUGCCUUUGAAACUCCUGAUCUUGAGGUCGAGAGAGGUGAGUGGAAUUCCGAGUGUAGAGGUGAAAUACGUAGAUAUUCGGAGGAACACCAGUGGCGAAGGCGGCUCUCUGGCUCGAUACUUACGCUGAGGUGCGAAAGCGUGGGGAGCAAACAGG
This 253-nucleotide ribosomal RNA is filed under the name uncultured bacterium. RNAcentral's name for it is "partial 16S ribosomal RNA". It matches the Rfam family "Bacterial small subunit ribosomal RNA", at positions 524 to 776 of the family's 1533-position model. The record is from RNAcentral.